Molecule: non-coding RNA, 202 nt
Organism: Oryza glumipatula
Lineage: Eukaryota; Viridiplantae; Streptophyta; Magnoliopsida; Poales; Poaceae
Source: Rfam
UUUAAGUGCAACCAUAAGUUUUCGUGCCCAAUUUUAAUUGUCCAUCUUAUUUAAUUUUUUUAUAUUUAGUAUUUUUAUUGUUAUGAGAUGAUAAAAUAUGAAUAAUAUUUUAUAUGUGACUUAUGUUUUUUAAAAUUUUCAAAAAAAAUUAAAUAAGACGGACGGUCAAAAUUGUGUACGGAAAAUCAUGGUUGCACUUAAA